AACGAACGCUGGCGGCAGGCCUAACACAUGCAAGUCGAGCGAGGACUUCGGUCCUAGCGGCGGACGGGUGAGUAACGCGUGGGAACGUGCCCUUUGGUACGGAAUAGCCCCGGGAAACUGGGAGUAAUACCGUAUGGUGUCUUCGGACUAAAGAUUUAUCGCCAAAGGAUCGGCCCGCGUUGGAUUAGGUAGUUGGUGGGGUAAUGGCCUACCAAGCCGACGAUCCAUAGCUGGUUUGAGAGGAUGAUCAGCCACACUGGGACUGAGACACGGCCCAGACUCCUACGGGAGGCAGCAGUGGGGAAUCUUAGACAAUGGGGGCAACCCUGAUCUAGCCAUGCCGCGUGAGUGAUGAAGGCCCUAGGGUUGUAAAGCUCUUUCAGCUGGGAAGAUAAUGACGGUACCAGCAGAAGAAGCCCCGGCUAACUUCGUG
Molecule: ribosomal RNA, 433 nt
Filed under: uncultured bacterium
Lineage: Bacteria
Description: bacterial SSU rRNA
Rfam family: Bacterial small subunit ribosomal RNA
Source: RNAcentral